RNAcentral lists this ribosomal RNA (253 nucleotides) under uncultured bacterium. Its description in RNAcentral is "partial 16S ribosomal RNA". It matches the Rfam family "Bacterial small subunit ribosomal RNA", at positions 524 to 776 of the family's 1533-position model. The record is from RNAcentral.
GACAGAGGGGGCAAGCGUUGCUCGGAAUUACUGGGCGUAAAGGGCGCGUGGGCGGGAUGGCAAGUCGGUCGUGAAAUCCCUCGGCUCAACUGAGGAACGUCGAUCGAUACUGCCGUUCUUGAGGGAUGCAGAGGAGACUGGAAUUCCCGGUGUAGCGGUGAAAUGUGUAGAGAUCGGGAGGAACACCGGUGGCGAAGGCGGGUCUCUGGGCAUCUCCUGACGCUGAGGCGCGAAAGCGUGGGGAGCAAACGGG